UACGGAGGGUGCAAGCAUUAAUCGGAUUUAUUGGGCGUAAAGGGCGCGUAGGCGGGGAUGAAAGUCAGAUGUGAAAUCCCGGGGCUCAACCUCGGAACUGCAUUUGAUACUCCAUCUCUUGAGGAUAGGCGGAGAAAACGGAAUUCCGCGUGUAGCGGUGAAAUGCGUAGAUAUGUGGAAGAACACCGGUGGCGAAAGCGGUUUUCUAGCUUAAACCUGACGCUGAGGCGCGAAAGCAAGGGGGAUCAAACAGGAUUAGAUACCCUGGUAGUCCUUGCCGUAAACGAUGUAUACUUGGUGUAGCUGGACUCAACCCCAGUUGUACCGGAGCUAACGCGUUAAGUAUACCGCCUGGGGAUACGCACGCAAGAGUGAAACUCA
Molecule: ribosomal RNA, 381 nt
Filed under: uncultured bacterium
Lineage: Bacteria
Description: bacterial SSU rRNA
Rfam family: Bacterial small subunit ribosomal RNA
Source: RNAcentral